GGGUUUNGAUACCUNGUGCCGCCGUUAACACAAUANUACCCCGCUUGGGGAGUACGGUCGCAAGAUUAAAACUCAAAGGAAUUGACGGGGCCCGCACAAGCAGCGGAGCAUGUGGUUUAAUUCGAAGCAACGCGAAGAACCUUACCUAGACUUGACAUCUCCUGCAUUACCCUUAAUCGGGGAAGUCCCUUCGGGGACAGGAAGACAGGUGGUGCAUGGUUGUCGUCAGCUCGUGUCGUGAGAUGUUGGGUUAAGUCCCGCAACGAGCGCAACCCUUAUUGUUAGUUGCUACCAUUUAGUUGAGCACUCUAGCGAGACUGCCCGGGUUAACCGGGAGGAAGGUGGGGAUGACGUCAAAUCAUCAUGCCCCUUAUGUCUAGGGCUACACACGUGCUACAAUGGUGAGUACAAAAAGAUGCAAGACCGUGAGGUGGAGCCAAACUUUUAAAACUCAUCCCAGUUCGGAUUGUAGGCUGAAACUCGCCUACAUGAAGCCGGAGUUGCUAGUAAUCGCGAAUCAGCAUGUCGCGGUGAAUACGUUCCCGGGCCUUGUACACACCGCCCGUCACACCAUGAGAGUUGGCAAUACCCGAAGUCCGUGAGGUAACCGUAAGGAGCCAGCGGCCGAAGGUAGGGUCAGCGAUUGGGGUGAAGUCGUAACAAGGUAGCCGUA
RNAcentral lists this ribosomal RNA (673 nucleotides) under uncultured bacterium. RNAcentral describes it as "bacterial SSU rRNA". It matches the Rfam family "Bacterial small subunit ribosomal RNA", at positions 825 to 1504 of the family's 1533-position model. The record is from RNAcentral.